Molecule: long non-coding RNA, 1648 nt
Organism: Amphiprion ocellaris (clown anemonefish)
Lineage: Eukaryota; Metazoa; Chordata; Actinopteri; Pomacentridae
Source: Ensembl
GCAUCUAAAGUUCAUACGCAAGUAUUUUGAUGGCAACAAUACAAAACCCGAAGGCCCAGGGGUCAUACAACAAGUCACACAUUCAAAACGAAUACUGUGAAAUCAUUAUUUUCUGAUGUUGUUCAGCAGAAUUCAAGAUAUUCAAUAAUAGCACACAGCAUUUUAUGGGAAACGUGAUUUAAUUCUUAAAAGAUUGCCCACGGUAGCAAAGUUGAUAAAGAUACAGACUAACAUAACAAAGGUUUUGGUUUAUUUGAACAUGGUUCCAGUGUGGAAAACAAUGCGACAAGUCACUGCAGCAUGAUUCAUUUAAUACAAACAACAUUGAAGGAUUUGAACAGAGAUAUGAGCAUUUGUGAAUCUAAAGUGACAUACAUUGAAUAUGCUAUGACUAUCCAAAUAGUGUAAGGCCUUCAUGUGUGUUUUUUCCUUUUUAUUUACUUAAAUUAAAAACAGGGACAUGUAUGAGCUAAUAAAAGCCACCUUAAAUGGCUGUUAAAUAUAUACAGAAAAAGGACGGGAUAAAAGUUUACAAUCACAUACCCUGAACUGCAGAGUAAAAGUCUGUACCAUGUUAUCGUAAAUCAGAUUAAUAGUAACACCUUUAAAAACUUUGCCACAGUAUACAGGAGUAAUUUAAGACACCAAUCAGUUUAGCUGAAAAGCUAACAGUAGGUCUGUUGGCCACGUGCACAGUAAAAUCAUACUCUUAUGUCUGUAGUGCUUUAUAAAGGCACACAACACGAAACAUAGUGUAUAUACGCUUGGAUGUCAGUGUGUUAGGUACACUUAGCUAAAAUUAAUGCAGUCUGAUGUUACCACUGUGCUGCCCUACCAAGACAGUUAAACCUCUGAAUCCCAAAACCCGCCGGCAGGUUUUACGGGCAUAUUGUGCUUAAAAUAAUAAUAAUGAUAAUAAUUAAAAAUCACCCAAAUUACACCACUUACCACAGCCAGAAACUGAAAAUGGAAAGAACUGUCGCACUUUUAGAUUUCCGACUAUCAUUGAACUACCUGUCUGUGCCAUGCUGUUUUGGUGGGAAACUUAGUAAAAUCUAAGCUUAAAGUCAGAUUUAAUAAAGAUCACUUUAUUCUUUUUUUAAAAAAUGCAAAAAAAAAAAAAAAAUGAUCAUAUGGUCAUACCAGAUUCUGUUAAAAACUGAAAAUUGUCUUCCUUGGCGCAACUGUGAAGCCAUGACUAACUGAGCUGCAACCAACAGUCGCGUAAUAAAAAUUCUGUGACUUUCCUGCUGAACUGCAGGUGCAAAGCUUUUUUCCCCCAGUAUUGGUUAAAUUCUAUGGGCACUUGGAAAAUUGUUAGACAUGUUAAUUCAAGGUUUUCUCUACUUUUGUAAAAAAAGAAAAAAAAAUUAAAUUAAAAAAGGCAAAGAAAUUUGACUUUGAAAAGAUAUCUUUAAGUUCUGUGUCCUUUUAGUCAUGGUUGUGCUGUUUCCAGAGGCGCAGGACAUUAUGUUGUUUUGAAAAAUGAGCCCACAGUGACUGAAAAAGUGGCAAAACACCUAGAGACUGCUUGGAGUUAAGAAGAAACAAAAACUGGACAUUAUAAUCUUGAUGAGGGGUGACUUACUGCAGGCCUGGUUCGUGAGACUGCAUUAAUCUUAGAAAAGUGAACCUAAUAAACUGCCAA